Molecule: long non-coding RNA, 85 nt
Organism: Etheostoma cragini (Arkansas darter)
Lineage: Eukaryota; Metazoa; Chordata; Actinopteri; Perciformes; Percidae
Exons: 3
Source: RefSeq, a predicted model, not a curated record
CACAGUGGCAUUGGUUUGUUUCCAACCCGUAGCCCUAUGCUGCAUGUCAUCCCCCCUCUCUCCCACUUUCCUUAAUCUGUCCUAU